This 280-nucleotide long non-coding RNA is filed under the name Coturnix japonica (Japanese quail). RNAcentral describes it as "lncRNA (ENSCJPG00005001202.1)". The record is from RNAcentral. Lineage: Eukaryota; Metazoa; Chordata; Aves; Galliformes; Phasianidae.
AGCCGGUUUGCUGACACUUGUCUCCUCUUUGGCAGCACUUUGCCAGGGUAAGCAUGCAGAUUCCGCAUCCUCCAGCCCAGCCCAAGGGACAGCAAGUGGGGAGGAGGUGGAGGAAGGAUGUGGAAGCUGUGACAGGAAAUAGAAUGGGAGCAUCGACCAAGCUGGUACUGCAUGCUAACCUCCUUCCCCCACGAGCGGCUCAGGUGCUGCAAAAGUUGGAGCCGCACAUCCAUCAACAAGAGUCUUGCUGGCACAGCGGAAAGAAACUGUAAGAAGCUGG